Molecule: long non-coding RNA, 595 nt
Organism: Limulus polyphemus (Atlantic horseshoe crab)
Lineage: Eukaryota; Metazoa; Arthropoda; Merostomata; Xiphosura; Limulidae
Exons: 3
Source: RefSeq, a predicted model, not a curated record
ACAAUUUAUGGAAAGAACAAGGAAACUAGGUUUGAUUUCAUGGUAUUCCAAGACAUCGGUCCUUUGUACGUAAGUUCGGAGAAGACAAACCAGAUUCAAAUUUGAGGAGGGUGAUGUUUAAUUUACAAUGAACAAAUGGUAUUACCUUUAUUAUCUUCCCAUGGGAAAGGUUUUUGCAAAAUUGUACAUACAUGAAGGUAGACAGCAACCUUUUUCCACUGGCAGGUUGGACGAUAUCAAGAGGCUACAACCUUCCUUAUGAUCAGUUGCAAUUAUCAACAGUCAAAUGGCGACGUAAGUCGCUAUGGGAAAGUCAAUGGCAAAAUCCAUCCACGAGCCACAGGCAACAGUAAGCAACAUAUAAAGAAGGAUGUUUAUCUGGAAAAGUCACAUUCACGUGUACACAUGUUUUUUCACGACAUAUUUAUUCAAAUAUUUUUCAUACAAAAACAUACGGUCAAGUCACGUAUAAGUUACUGUGCGAUCGGACUGUUGUAACGGGCGCUAGGAAGCCUUCGUUCACUUACACCAGGGGUCACCAAACUUUUUUCACAGCGGGCCAGAUAACAGAGAAUGACGAGCGCGGGCCGCAUAA